CGAAUGCUGACAUAAGUAACGAUAAAGCGGGUGAAAAGCCCGCUCGCCGGAAGACCAAGGGUUCCUGUCCAACGUUAAUCGGGGCAGGGUGAGUCGACCCCUAAGGCGAGGCCGAAAGGCGUAGUCGAUGGGAAACAGGUUAAUAUUCCUGUACUUGGUGUUACUGCGAAGGGGGGACGGAGAAGGCUAUGUUGGCCGGGCGACGGUUGUCCCGGUUUAAGCGUGUAGGCUGGUUUUCCAGGCAAAUCCGGAAAAUCAAGGCUGAGGCGUGAUGACGAGGCACUACGGUGCUGAAGCAACAAAUGCCCUGCUUCCAGGAAAAGCCUCUAAGCAUCAGGUAACAUCAAAUCGUACCCCAAACCGACACAGGUGGUCAGGUAGAGAAUACCAAGGCGCUUGAGAGAACUCGGGUGAAGGAACUAGGCAAAAUGGUGCCGUAACUUCGGGAGAAGGCACGCUGAUAUGUAGGUGAAGUCCCUCGCGGAUGGAGCUGAAAUCAGUCGAAGAUACCAGCUGGCUGCAACUGUUUAUUAAAAACACAGCACUGUGCAAACACGAAAGUGGACGUAUACGGUGUGACGCCUGCCCGGUGCCGGAAGGUUAAUUGAUGGGGUCAGCGCAAGCGAAGCUCUUGAUCGAAGCCCCGGUAAACGGCGGCCGUAACUAUAACGGUCCUAAGGUAGCGAAAUUCCUUGUCGGGUAAGUUCCGACCUGCACGAAUGGCGUAAUGAUGGCCAGGCUGUCUCCACCCGAGACUCAGUGAAAUUGAACUCGCUGUGAAGAUGCAGUGUACCCGCGGCAAGACGGAAAGACCCCGUGAACCUUUACUAUAGCUUGACACUGAACAUUGAGCCUUGAUGUGUAGGAUAGGUGGGAGGCUUUGAAGUGUGGACGCCAGUCUGCAUGGAGCCGACCUUGAAAUACCACCCUUUAAUGUUUGAUGUUCUAACGUGGACCCGUGAUCCGGGUUGCGGACAGUGUCUGGUGGGUAGUUUGACUGGGGCGGUCUCCUCCUAAAGAGUAACGGAGGAGCACGAAGGUUGGCUAAUCCUGGUCGGACAUCAGGAGGUUAGUGCAAUGGCAUAAGCCAGCUUGACUGCGAGCGUGACGGCGCGAGCAGGUGCGAAAGCAGGUCAUAGUGAUCCGGUGGUUCUGAAUGGAAGGGCCAUCGCUCAACGGAUAAAAGGUACUCCGGGGAUAACAGGCUGAUACCGCCCAAGAGUUCAUAUCGACGGCGGUGUUUGGCACCUCGAUGUCGGCUCAUCACAUCCUGGGGCUGAAGUAGGUCCCAAGGGUAUGGCUGUUCGCCAUUUAAAGUGGUACGCGAGCUGGGUUUAGAACGUCGUGAGACAGUUCGGUCCCUAUCUGCCGUGGGCGCUGGAGAACUGAGGGGGGCUGCUCCUAGUACGAGAGGACCGGAGUGGACGCAUCACUGGUGUUCGGGUUGUCAUGCCAAUGGCACUGCCCGGUAGCUAAAUGCGGAAGAGAUAAGUGCUGAAAGCAUCUAAGCACGAAACUUGCCCCGAGAUGAGUUCUCCCUGACCCUUUAAGGGUCCUGAAGGAACGUUGAAGACGACGACGUUGAUAGGCC
RNAcentral lists this ribosomal RNA (1591 nucleotides) under Escherichia coli O157. RNAcentral's name for it is "partial 23S ribosomal RNA". It matches the Rfam family "Bacterial large subunit ribosomal RNA", at positions 1291 to 2862 of the family's 2925-position model. The record is from RNAcentral. Lineage: Bacteria; Pseudomonadati; Pseudomonadota; Gammaproteobacteria; Enterobacterales; Enterobacteriaceae.